UCAUAAUAGCAACACAUUCACUUGUACAGUAUCAUCAGAUUUACUGGCUAUGAACCUGACAGAGUCUAUUACUAUUAGUGUAUUAGAUACCAGUGUCUCAUCUGUUACUGUACAAUCAUUAUCCUCUUAUGUUAUUGGUGAUGAUGUAUCAAUAGUGUGUACUAUUAGUCUCACUAAUGCUAUUGGUCCUGAUGUUUCUUCACUUGUAGUGAACUGGUUUAAA
Long non-coding RNA from Amphimedon queenslandica, 223 nucleotides. RefSeq lists it as uncharacterized. Lineage: Eukaryota; Metazoa; Porifera; Demospongiae; Haplosclerida; Niphatidae. The transcript is spliced from 2 exons. The record is from RefSeq and is a predicted model, not a curated record.